This 456-nucleotide long non-coding RNA is filed under the name Pan troglodytes (chimpanzee). RNAcentral's name for it is "lncRNA (ENSPTRG00000054140.1)". Lineage: Eukaryota; Metazoa; Chordata; Mammalia; Primates; Hominidae. The record is from RNAcentral.
GGAAGAUCUCAUAUAUCUGAGUGGAAACACUUACAUUAAUUGUAAUACAAUGUUAGUUGUACCAACUUCAAAAAAUGAUGUAAAAGAAGUGCUUUUGAGAGCUGAAAGCUGUGGCCACAUGGAACAAAAGAAUAAAUGAGUUUCUAAUUGCUUUUCAUUCAUUGGAGAUGACAGUUCCAAAUAUAUUCACCUUUUUAAAUGAAAAGGAUAGAAUUUUAAUUGGAAGAAUGAGAAAAUAAAAGUGCUAUGAUUAGAAAAACUUGAGGAUUAUUCUAACCAGCAAGAAAAGAUCUCUUAAAAUCUUCAGAGGAAUUGCAGAAUUAAAAAAAAUAUAUGUGGCAAGAACUCGAUUGGAUAGAUAAAUAUAGGUAAUAGAUAUCUUUGAGGUAAAAUAGGACCUCAAUUUAAAUAGAUUAAUGUAAGAAUUUAAAAAAUGCUGAUGUAAUAAAUCAAUAU